Molecule: ribosomal RNA, 450 nt
Filed under: uncultured eukaryote
Lineage: Eukaryota
Description: bacterial SSU rRNA
Rfam family: Eukaryotic small subunit ribosomal RNA
Source: RNAcentral
CGACAUUAACCUGACUUCACGGAAGGGUUGUCUUUAUUAGAUACAGAACCAGCCCACUUCGGUGGUUUUGGAUGAUUCAUGAUAAAUGAACGGAGCGUAUGGCUUGGGCCGACGCUGUGCCAUUCAAUGUUUCUGACCUAUCAGCUAUCGACGGUAGGGUAUUGGCCUACCGUGGCAUUGACGGGUAACGGAGAAUUAGGGUUCNAUUCCGGAGAGGGAGCCCGAGGAAACGGCCGUACCACAUCUAAGGAAGGCAGCAGGCGGCGCAAAUUACCCAAUCCUGACACAAGGGAGGUAGUGACAAGAAUAACAAAGCAGGCCCUUAUGGGCCGCUGCGUUGGGAUGAAGUACAAUUUAAAUCUCUUUACGACUAUCGAUUGGAGGGCAAGUCUGGUGCCAGCAGCCGCGGGUAAUUCCAGCUCCAAAGCAGUAUACUAAGUUGUUGCGGCU